Molecule: transfer RNA, 75 nt
Filed under: subsurface metagenome
Description: tRNA-Lys
Rfam family: tRNA
About the family: Transfer RNA (tRNA) molecules are approximately 80 nucleotides in length.
Source: RNAcentral
UGCGCCGCUAGCUCAAAUGGUAGAGCAACGGACUCUUAAUCCGUGGGUUCGGGGUUCGAUUCCCUGGCGGCGUAU